Molecule: ribosomal RNA, 437 nt
Filed under: uncultured bacterium
Lineage: Bacteria
Description: bacterial SSU rRNA
Rfam family: Bacterial small subunit ribosomal RNA
Source: RNAcentral
AAUCAACGCUGGCGGCGUGCCUCAGACAUGCAAGUCGAACGCGAAAGUUUCCUUCGGGAGACAAGUAGAGUGGCGCACGGGUGAGUAACACGUAGGUAAUCUACCUUUGGAUGGGGAAUAACAACCGGAAACGGUUGCUAAUACCGCAUAAUGCAGCGGCACCUAAUGGUGACAGUUGUUAAAGCGGGGGAUCGAAAGACCUCGCGUCUAAAGAGGAGCCUGCGGCGGAUUAGCUAGNGGUAAGGUAAUGGCUUACCAAGGCUACGAUCCGUAACCGGCCUGAGAGGGCGGUCGGUCACACUGACACUGACAUACGGGUCAGACUCCUACGGGAGGCAGCAGUCGGGAAUUUUGGGCAAUGGGCGAAAGCCUGACCCAGCAACGCCGCGUGAAGGAUGAAAUCCCUCGGGAUGUAAACUUCGCAAGAACGGGAAGAA